Molecule: ribosomal RNA, 419 nt
Filed under: uncultured bacterium
Lineage: Bacteria
Description: bacterial SSU rRNA
Rfam family: Bacterial small subunit ribosomal RNA
Source: RNAcentral
UGGGGAAUAUUGCGCAAUGGGCGGAAGCCUGACGCAGCGACGCCGCGUGGGGGAUGACGGCCUUCGGGUUGUAAACCUCUUCAGCAGGGACGAAGCGGAAGUGACGGUACCUGCAGAAGAAGCACCGGCCAACUACGUGCCAGCAGCCGCGGUAAUACGUAGGGUGCAAGCGUUGUCCGGAAUUAUUGGGCGUAAAGAGCUCGUAGGCGGUUCGUCGCGUCGGCUGUGAAAACCUGAGGCUCAACCUCAGGCCUGCAGUCGAUACGGGCGGACUUGAGUACUGCAGGGGAGACUGGAAUUCCUGGUGUAGCGGUGAAAUGCGCAGAUAUCAGGAGGAACACCGGUGGCGAAGGCGGGUCUCUGGGCAGUAACUGACGCUGAGGAGCGAAAGCGUGGGGAGCGAACAGGAUUAGAUACCC